GUAAAGUAAUACACAAUUUCUUAAAAAAUGUUGAAGAUUAUGACAAAAAGAAAAGUACUUGUCGGUCGUCAUCGUUAUCCGAUCGUGAUAGUGUUGCAGGCAGAUCGCCUUACCUGCCCUACGGAAAACAUACAAUGUAUCGACGAGCGCAUAGUUGUCACGAGUUCGAGAAACGUCGAUUUCGGACCGUUAUUUCAUCCACACAAAGAAGGUGGCAUACGUGAUCACAGGCGCGAAAGGUGGUGUGGCCCGAGCGUAGUGGGGGUCGUCUCCUCGAGAAAACAAAGAAAUGAUCGAAGGACAAUCAGUCUCUUUUGAAGAUUCGAACAGUAUACGCCGUGAGGUAAAAUGAAUAAAGUCGCUAUGUCUAACGAACAUAUCGAGAGACAUCACAAAGUCGAAUCAACUUCUGUAACGCAUUAACAUUAUUUAUCACCAAAUAAUUUGUGACACUUCAUUGUUAUUAAAUUCUUACUAAAUAUACAAGUUAUAUCAACCUGUUAAUACAGUGUUAAAUUCAUUAAACUACCUCUGUUAUCUUAACCGAAACGGCGGAACGACGAAUUCGCGGCGUCGAUUAUACGAAUCGUAGCGAGAAUUUACGCCUCUCGCUGACGCAUUUUCCUCGUGACCGCGUCUGUCCGCGAACAGUCGUGACAACAUGCAAGGUGUGACAAGUACUCUUGCUCUAAGGCACAAUAUGAAAUCAGCAACAUUCAGUUUAACAAAUUAUACCUUUUAUUCGUUUUCCAUCAUGGAAUAACGUGAUGAUAUCUUCCAUAUUGCACUAGACGUGCGUUGUAAUCUACUCCUAUCUAUAUUUUGAAACAUAGUGUUAAAUCUGAUGUGCACUUUCUGUUAUCAAAGAAUUUAUAGACUGCUUUCUCCGGAAUGUAUCGUUGCAUUGCAAGUUGAUUUUCACGUAUGUGCGCUAAAAUUGAUAAAAAUUCGAGUAUUCUAUGCAUUCUAAUGUUUAUUAACCCAUUAAGUAAAACAAUACUUACAUUGUGCCCAAUGUGGAAUUGUAUGCUUUGGUCUGGAUUUAUCACCUGAUUCAUCGCCGUCAGGUACACUAUCCAAAACGUAAGUGG
This 1091-nucleotide unclassified non-coding RNA is filed under the name Bombus terrestris (buff-tailed bumblebee). RNAcentral's name for it is "misc RNA ENSBTSG00005028138.1". Lineage: Eukaryota; Metazoa; Arthropoda; Insecta; Hymenoptera; Apidae. The record is from RNAcentral.